AGCAAGUAUAAGAGGUCAGAUUCCAAACCUGUUCUCUCACACAGGAUCAGAGAUCUAAAUUUGGGAUAUCAUCCAUUCCAAUCCCCUCAUUUGCAACUGAGGAAACUGAGACCCAGGUUAAGUGACUUGACAUGUGCACUUGGAGAAAUGAAAUUCUUCAGAAUUGUAAGUAAGGAUCUAUUGAAGCACAAGGACCAUAGACAGCCAUUCAUGAGGAGUUUAUUCUAUCACUCCUCCAAAUUGAGGUGGGGAGUGGAGGUGGAGAGAAGAAACCUGUCCUAUCUCUUCCCCAAUCAUGUUGACUCAGGGCCUCUGUGGGGCUAUGGAAGAGGAUGUAGGGAUGAAGAAUGAUGAAAUUAACUUGCUGUUUGUAACAUAGAUGAAACCUAGCAUCAGUGAUUUCCCUAAUAGCAUGCACCAUCUAUGACCUCUCAGAGUCAGGAACAAUGAAGUCCUGGGAAAAAUAAAUGUUUAAGGAGAUAAUUUAAUUCA
Molecule: long non-coding RNA, 492 nt
Filed under: Phascolarctos cinereus (koala)
Lineage: Eukaryota; Metazoa; Chordata; Mammalia; Diprotodontia; Phascolarctidae
Description: lncRNA (ENSPCIG00000036836.1)
Source: RNAcentral